This 460-nucleotide ribosomal RNA is filed under the name uncultured bacterium. RNAcentral describes it as "partial 16S ribosomal RNA". It matches the Rfam family "Bacterial small subunit ribosomal RNA", at positions 338 to 795 of the family's 1533-position model. The record is from RNAcentral.
CCUACGGGUGGCAGCAGUGAGGAAUAUUGGUCCAUGGACGCAAGUCUGAACCCGCCAAGCCGCGUGCAGGAUGACGGCACUAUGAGUUUUAACCUGCUUUUGUACGAGGGUAAACGCCGAUACGUGUAUCGGGUUGAAAGUAUCUUAAGAAUAAGGAUCGGCUAACUCCGUGCCAGGAGCCGCGGUAAUACGGAGGAUCCGCGCGUUAUCCGGAUUUAUUGGGUUUAAGGGGUGCGUAGGCGGGUUGAUAAGUUAGAGGUGAACUGUCGGGGCUCAACCCCGAAACGGCCUCUAAUACUGUUGGACUAGAGAAUAGUUGCGGUAGGCGGAAUGUAUGGUGUAGCGGUGAAAUGCUUAGAGAUCAUACAGAACACCGAUUGCGAAGGCAGCUUACCAAACUCUAUCUGACGUUGAGGCACGAAAGCGUGGGUAGCAAACAGGAUUAGAUACCCCGGUAGUC